RNA transcript from Ananas comosus (pineapple), 1463 nucleotides. RefSeq lists it as uncharacterized. The transcript has 6 exons. NCBI's taxonomy places the organism in Eukaryota, Viridiplantae, Streptophyta, Magnoliopsida, Poales, Bromeliaceae. The record is from RefSeq and is a predicted model, not a curated record.
UUUCGAGUUUUAAAAAAGAGGCCCAAAUUUUGUGCUUGGACUUUUCUUAUUUGACAUAUGGCCCAAAGGCCUCUCUCGCGAUCUCGGCCGACUCCUCCCCCCUCGCUCUUCCUCGAUUGCGCUUCCCUCCGUUCGAGUCCCAAGGAGAUGGAGAUGGAUUGGCCACCGAUGGACGGCGGCCCCUCCUGCGGCCGCGCAACGGCGGUCCCGACUACGGCGAGGAUGGUUCGUGAGGGUGCCCAUGGAGCACUUUGGGAAGACGGUCAGGGCGAACCAGCGGUGCGCGGAGGAGGAGGUCUCAGCUGUCCUCUCCGGCGUGGAGGUGGCCUCAGUCGACGACUCCAUGUUCAGGGAGGACGCUGCCACCCACCUCACCUCCCUCGUCUCCCGCCUCCAGGUCCCCCGUGGUCCCUUUCUGUCCUCUCUCCCCGGAUGCCUGCAGCGACAAGAUCAAGCACCUCCUCGAGACCCCGCCGGAGCACGGCCAGAUCUAGGUCCCCGUCGGCAGGUGCCCCGUGGUCCCCUUUCUCUCCUCUCUCCCCGGAUCUCUGCAGCGACAAGAUCAAGCACCUCCUCGAGCCCCCGCCGGAGCACGGCCGGAUCCAGUUCCCCGUCGACAGGUCCCCCCCGUGGUCCCCUUUCUCUCCUCUUUCCCCGGAUGUCUACAGUGACAAGAUCAAGCACCUCCUCGAGCCCCCGCCGGAGCGCGCCCGGGGUCCGGUUCCACCGACUCAACAUCAAGAACAAAUACUGACUCGAGGGCCUCAUCAAGAUCUGCAACCUGACGACCAUCUGUACCCCUGCCGAUUAUAAUACCCGCCCACUGGAUACCAUACACAGCAAUUUCACGGAUGCCUUUCUGUUUCAUGGAAGCGUCAGAAUCUGGCAGAGGGAAACCAUCCAUCCCUAACUUGCUACUUGUAUGGGAAGACUAUCGGAAGCUUGCUACUGAUGGAGCUAGCCUUUCUGAUAGAAAUGGGGAAUAUAUUGCAUAACAUUAAUGUUAGUGAUUCGCAUCUGUUCAACUUUUGCUUUAGCUGCAGAUUACAAGGCCAGAUAUAUAUGGACCAGAUAUUUUUGAGGUUUGGCACUGUCCGAGUUACAUGAGAAAGUUCCUCCUUUCCCAAGAGAUGUCGCUAUGAAGAUUAUAGAAACAAAAUUAGGAUGCCCAAGAGAUAGCAUAUAUAGCUACAUUUCGGAUGAACCUAUCGCUGCAGCUUCAUUUAGCCAGGUAGCUUGAUGUUUGUAACACUACUUGUCUGAUUCUACUACUCAAUGUGGUAAUUGUCUGCUAUCCUUUUGAAAGUUGUUUAGAAGAAUACUUCUUGCAAAGUAAGGUGAUAUUUUAUACUCACAAGCUAAAUGUAGUAUGUUCUUUUGCUUUUAAACAUGAAUUUAUGAACUAGCAAGUUGUUAACUAUCGUGCGGGACAGAUAUAUCCUACGUCUCGGGGUUGGUAUUGA